CGUCAGUCCUGAUGGACACAUGGCUGCUCCCGGUCUUGUCCUCAAGUCAUUUCUCAGGUGUUGAGGUCCAGCUGAAGGGUCCUUCCUGACAAGGAGGGGGUGACUAAAUUCCCCCGCUGGGGGCUUUCACCGACGGAUACCCCCUCACUAAAGCUCCGGAGGUCAGACCUCCAAAAUCAAGGUGUCAGCAGGGCCGGCUCCUUCCAGAGGCUCCGGAGGAGAACCCCUCUCCCGGCCUUUUCCAGCUUCCGGAGGCUCGUGGCCCCAUCAGGCCCCCUCUGCUCUGCUGAUGCAUCUCCUUCACUGACCCUCUGGCUUCCCGCGUAUAAGGACCCAGAUGUGCCUUUCCGAGAGCGCGUCCGCGGGACGGAGAGCCCACUGCCACCCGUGGGGCGAGAGCCAGUCUUCAUCCCCGGAGCAGGCGGUUCACCCCUCACCCCACCGGUGGGAGGGGCCACGCGG
Molecule: long non-coding RNA, 462 nt
Organism: Zalophus californianus (California sea lion)
Lineage: Eukaryota; Metazoa; Chordata; Mammalia; Carnivora; Otariidae
Exons: 3
Source: RefSeq, a predicted model, not a curated record